CAUGAGCAGGAUGAAGCGAAAGUAAAAUUUCGUGGAGGUCCGAACCCACGAGCGUUGAAAAGCUCGGGGAUGACUUGUGGGUAGCGGUGAAAUUCCAAUCGAGCCCGGAGAUAGCUGGUUCUCCCCGAAAUAGCUUUAGGGCUAGCCUCAAGGUGAGAGAUACGGAGGUAGAGCACUGAAUGUCCUAGGGGGUAUUGCACCUACCGAAGACUAUCAAACUCCGAAUGCCGUCAUCUUAUACUUGGGAGUCAGACUGUGGGUGAUAAGAUUCAUAGUCGAAAGGGCAACAGCCCAGAUCGUCAGCUAAGGUCCCUAAAUGUAAGUUAAGUGGUAAAGGAUGUGGGAUUGCACAGACAACCAGGAUGUUGGCUUAGAAGCAGCCACUCAUUCAAAGAGUGCGUAAUAGCUCACUGGUCGAGUGAUCCUGCGCCGAAGAUUUCCGGGGCUAAAACUUACUACCGAAGCUACGGCAUCAGUAAUGAUGGGUAGGGGAGCUUCCCAUACGGGUUGAAGCAUGACCGUAAGGACAUGUGGACAGUAUGGGAGUGAGAAUGUUGGCAUGAGUAGCGAGAUGUGGGUGAGAAUCCCACAGGCCGUAAACCCAAGGUUUCCAGGGGAAGGUUCGUCCGCCCUGGGUUAGUCGGGACCUAAGCUGAGGCCGAAAGGCGUAGGUGAUGGAC
RNAcentral lists this ribosomal RNA (680 nucleotides) under Clostridioides difficile. RNAcentral describes it as "partial 23S ribosomal RNA". It matches the Rfam family "Bacterial large subunit ribosomal RNA", at positions 735 to 1423 of the family's 2925-position model. The record is from RNAcentral. Lineage: Bacteria; Bacillati; Bacillota; Clostridia; Peptostreptococcales; Peptostreptococcaceae.